Molecule: non-coding RNA, 74 nt
Organism: Podarcis lilfordi (Lilford's wall lizard)
Lineage: Eukaryota; Metazoa; Chordata; Lepidosauria; Squamata; Lacertidae
Source: the annotation of a GenBank genome assembly
GGAGGGCCAUAGCUCAGUGGUAGAACAUCGGCUUUGCAUGCAGAAGGUCCCAGGUUCAGUUCUUGGCAUCUUUA